UGAACAGUUUCGUUGGAUCUGUGUUCUUCUGAAGCAACAGUCCCAAUGAAAACUGUUGACC
RNAcentral lists this microRNA precursor (61 nucleotides) under Monopterus albus (swamp eel). Its description in RNAcentral is "Mal-Novel-3_pre stem-loop". Lineage: Eukaryota; Metazoa; Chordata; Actinopteri; Synbranchiformes; Synbranchidae. The record is from RNAcentral.